RNAcentral lists this non-coding RNA (29 nucleotides) under Rattus norvegicus (Norway rat). The record is from RNAcentral. Lineage: Eukaryota; Metazoa; Chordata; Mammalia; Rodentia; Muridae.
UGAUAUGCAUGGAAGUGUCACAAUAAAGU